UACGAAGGGGGCUAGCGUUGUUCGGAUUUACUGGGCGUAAAGCGCACGUAGGCGGAUAUUUAAGUCAGGGGUGAAAUCCCGGGGCUCAACCCCGGAACUGCCUCUGAUACUGGAUAUCUCGAGUCCGGAAGAGGUGAGUGGAAUUCCGAGUGUAGAGGUGAAAUUCGUAGAUAUUCGGAGGAACACCAGUGGCGAAGGCGGCUCACUGGUCCGGUACUGACGCUGAGGUGCGAAAGCGUGGGGAGCAAACAGGG
Molecule: ribosomal RNA, 254 nt
Filed under: uncultured bacterium
Lineage: Bacteria
Description: partial 16S ribosomal RNA
Rfam family: Bacterial small subunit ribosomal RNA
Source: RNAcentral